GCGUUGUCCGGAAUUACUGGGCGUAAAGCGCGCGUAGGCGGCACCCUAAGUCUUGUGUGAAAGCCCCCGGCUCAACCCUGGAAUGCCGGUGGAAACUGUCGAGCUAGAGUCCGGAAGAGGCGAGUGGAAUUCCUGGUGUAGCGGUGAAAUGCGCAGAUAUCAGGAGGAACACCAAUGGCGAAGGCAGCUUGCUGGGACGUUACUGACGCUGAGACUCGAAAGCGUGUGGAGCAAACAGG
RNAcentral lists this ribosomal RNA (239 nucleotides) under uncultured bacterium. RNAcentral's name for it is "partial 16S ribosomal RNA". It matches the Rfam family "Bacterial small subunit ribosomal RNA", at positions 538 to 776 of the family's 1533-position model. The record is from RNAcentral.